This 301-nucleotide ribosomal RNA is filed under the name uncultured bacterium. Its description in RNAcentral is "partial 16S ribosomal RNA". It matches the Rfam family "Bacterial small subunit ribosomal RNA", at positions 509 to 807 of the family's 1533-position model. The record is from RNAcentral.
CAGUCGCCGCGGUAAAACGUAGGGUGCGAGCGUUAAUCGGAAUUACUGGGCGUAAAGCGUGCGCAGGCGGUUUUGUAAGUCUGUCGUGAAAUCCCCGGGCUCAACCUGGGAAUGGCGAUGGAGACUGCAAGGCUAGAAUCUGGCAGAGGGGGGUAGAAUUCCACGUGUAGCAGUGAAAUGCGUAGAUAUGUGGAGGAACACCGAUGGCGAAGGCAGCCCCCUGGGCUAAGAUUGACGCUCAUGCACGAAAGCGUGGGGAGCAAACAGGAUUAGAUACCCCUGUAGUCCCUGUCUCUUAUAC